Molecule: RNA transcript, 1384 nt
Organism: Monomorium pharaonis (pharaoh ant)
Lineage: Eukaryota; Metazoa; Arthropoda; Insecta; Hymenoptera; Formicidae
Exons: 2
Source: RefSeq, a predicted model, not a curated record
GAUACCAAAUCAAGAUGUACGUUUAAAAGACGGAACAAAUAAAUAUGAAUUAAUACUGAGAAAAAAGUUUUGUUGUCAUAACAAAAUACCAGUACCCAAAUGAUUUACUGAUGUAGGACAGCAAAUGACUCUGUUGCGGGAACAAAUGAUUUGUUACGUUUGAUUUGCUGUUGUAGCUAUUGAACUCUAAGUGAACAAAUGUGAUUUGUAUCUCAGGCAAUAUAUGUUUCUUAAAAUAACAAAUAAUGAGAAAUGAUUUGCAAUGGUAACUGUUCCAUCUAAGCGAUCCUUGUUUCUGUUUUGGCAACUAAAAGCUUUUUCUCAGUGAAGAAUCGAUAAAGAUCUAGAGAGUUUCCUUAUUUUAAUAUUCCUAUAUAAGCAUCACCCAGCGAGAAGUAGUACAUCGAAUCGACGUCGAAUUAAUGUCGAAUUCAUUAUCGUUUCUCGCUGGAUUAGGUCUACAUUUUAGAGAGACUUUUUCAUCGGCCCGUAGAACUUCUCAGAAAAGUCUCGAGGAGACUUUACUCCGUGAUCGUUCAUCGGUUGUCAAGGAAGCGCAUGGGGUGCUAAAGGAAACGUCUUAACGAUCUCGGAGUUCUUCUUAUCGAUCGCGUGUUUCUCCCACCCAACGACUAUCCGUGUCUUUGUUUGUUCCGACAAGCCUCACUUCCCUCUCGUGGGAAAGCGGCACUGUGCCCAGAGGGUGGAAGAUACGAAAUUCUUGACACAAGUUUAGAUUCCACAAGAGAGGCAUUGUUCUUGAAAGCCGCUGUUCUGCCUCACCCCGGAAGCCGACUUGGCAGGUGGAUCGAUAUCAUCUCCGCUGAUUCCUCCAAGGACGGCGGCAAUUGAGUCACACGCGUCCAAGUCGCGUCAGCGCAUACAGACCUGCAUUCGACGGGCGCGUUUGACAGCGUUCGAUGGGUAUACGAAUGUUGAAUGGGUGACGUCAGCCCCCACAUUCUCUCACGCCUUAAUGGUUAUUAUUGCCGGGAGGCACGCACUCUUAUCCCUCCCCCGAGGGGGGGGGCUCACCAAGACGGAGCACACGCACGCACAUGGGUUCGAGUACCACGAAGGAGGGACGACGAUGUCGACGGAAUGUGCAACGCGGUGCAAGCGCGUUGGAGCGCGUAUAACAAAACAGGGAGUGCCAUUGGCCGAAUUGACCCGCCGAGUCCCCCUGAAUGUUCUUGCGUGCUUGUUCGAAGUACUAAUUGUAAGCGACGUUUCUUCGGAUUCUAAUGAAUUCAAAUGCAUACAAACAAAUUUCCCCCAAAAUAUCUAUUUUUAAUACUGUCUCCUACACUGAGAAAAAAAAAUUGUUGAUUCGUUAAAAUUUUUCAACUAAAUUUAAAUUUUGUCAGCUCAAGAAUUUAUGCAU